AUGGAUGGUGGUGGCAGCGCCAUGGAGCACGGCUGCACAACUUCGAUGCCGGGGCAGGUGGGCUCGGGCGUUGAACGGCUCCACGGGAGCAGCAGCAUGCGGCGCAUCCAGUCGGGCUUGGGCAGUGCCCCGGCGCCGGACGCACGCGCUGGUUUCCGGCAAGCUGGACAUGGUGAUGGAAGUGCACCCUAUGUUAGUAGGGUGAGCAUCGAUGAAGCCAGAAGGAGGGAAAAUGUCAACCCCAACAAUGAAGAUAACAUUAUGAUGGGGAAUGGUUCAGCUCUAAGAGAGACAGCUUGGAAAGGGCUUGUAAGCAAUGACAUCUAUUAUAUUUGGAACCAUGGCCCGAAGUUUGGUGGGGGAUUUGAUUGUCGGUACUGCCCCCUAAUCACUAGAGGAGGAGGUGCAACCCGCUUUAGGGAGCACCUUGGAGGUAUACCAGGUGAUGUGAAACAGAGUAUCACAGCAUACUUUGACAAGGAAUUGUCGACCAACAAAGUAUCAAUGCAGCCAAAGAUCAGCACUGCUUUGAAUGUUGAGUCAAAAGAUGUACUUGGCCAAGCUUGGGAAAAGUUUUUUCAUGCUAAUGACAUUGCUGGUCUGAAAGCAAAUUGUCCCUAUUUUCGUUCGGCUGUCAAGAUAACUCAAAACCUUGGCCCAGCUCCUGUUCCAACUGCCAAGGAGAUUGAUGGGAUAUAUUUGGACAAGAAUUAUGAAGAAGCUGAGCAGUGGCUGAAGAUGUUCAAGCAAGACUGGAGGAACUAUGGUGUAACUGUGAUGUGUGACUCAUGGACAGGGCCUACUAGUAUGAGUCUCAUCAAUUUCAUGGUGUAUUGCAAUGCACGGAUGUUCUUUCAUAAAUCCAUUGAUGCUUCUGGUCAAACUCAGACUGCAGAUACGUGCUGA
Molecule: ribosomal RNA, 906 nt
Filed under: Triticum aestivum (bread wheat)
Lineage: Eukaryota; Viridiplantae; Streptophyta; Magnoliopsida; Poales; Poaceae
Description: partial small subunit ribosomal RNA
Source: RNAcentral